This 440-nucleotide ribosomal RNA is filed under the name uncultured bacterium. Its description in RNAcentral is "partial 16S ribosomal RNA". It matches the Rfam family "Bacterial small subunit ribosomal RNA", at positions 338 to 795 of the family's 1533-position model. The record is from RNAcentral.
CCUACGGGUGGCAGCAGUGGGGGAUAUUGCACAAUGGGGGAAACCCUGAUGCAGCGACGCCGCGUGAGUGAAGAAGUAUUUCGGUAUGUAAAGCUCUAUCAGCAGGGAAGAAAAAAGACGGUACCUGACUAAGAAGCCCGGCUAACUACGUGCCAGCAGCCGCGUGAAUACGUAGGGGGCAAGCGUUAUCCCGAUUUACUGGGUGUAAAGGGGGCGUUGACGGCAAUAACAGGCGGAAGUGAAAUACCCGGGCUAAACCUGGGAACUGCUUUGGAAACUGUAUGGCUGGAGUGCUGGAGAGGUAAGCGGAAUGCGUGGUGUAGCGGUGAAAUGCGUAGAUAUUAGGCGGAACACCAGUGGCGAAGGCGGCUUACUGGACACCAACUGACGUUGAGGCUCGAAAGCGUGGGGAGCAAACAGGAUUAGAUACCCCAGUAGUC